This 214-nucleotide long non-coding RNA is filed under the name Homo sapiens (human). RNAcentral's name for it is "LHRI_LNC2121.1". The record is from RNAcentral. Lineage: Eukaryota; Metazoa; Chordata; Mammalia; Primates; Hominidae.
CCGAAUGAACUUGUUUCUCUCUCUCUUUAAAAUUGUAUUUUGCUUAAGUACCAUGCCAGCAAAAUUAAUUCAUUUCUUCAGAUGCACAAAAUGGUCUGUUGACUACCCAGCAGGCCAUGCCUGAUUUAGUAACUAACUUCAACUUUUGUUCAGUCCUUAUCCUUUAUCUCAACACUACUGGCUUUCUAUCCCACAACUACCAUCUGCCCUCCCG